RNAcentral lists this ribosomal RNA (209 nucleotides) under uncultured Mesotoga sp. RNAcentral's name for it is "partial 16S ribosomal RNA". It matches the Rfam family "Bacterial small subunit ribosomal RNA", at positions 568 to 776 of the family's 1533-position model. Lineage: Bacteria; Thermotogati; Thermotogota; Thermotogae; Kosmotogales; Kosmotogaceae. The record is from RNAcentral.
AGCGUAGGUGGCCUAACAUGUCAACUGUGAAAACCCGGAGCUCAACUCCGGACUUGCAGUUGAAACUGGUAGGCUUGAGGACGGUAGAGGAAGACGGAACUGCCAGUGUAGGGGUAAAAUCCUUAGAUAUUGGCAGGAACGCCGGUGACGAAGGUGGUUUUCUGGGCCGGUUCUGACACUGAUGCUCGAAAGCCAGGGGAGCGAAACGG